Molecule: ribosomal RNA, 356 nt
Filed under: uncultured bacterium
Lineage: Bacteria
Description: bacterial SSU rRNA
Rfam family: Bacterial small subunit ribosomal RNA
Source: RNAcentral
AACGAACGCUGGCGGCAGGCCUAACACAUGCAAGUCGAGCGCCCCGCAAGGGGAGCGGCGGACGGGUGAGUAACGCGUGGGAACGUGCCCUCUUCUACGGAAUAGCCUCGGGAAACUGGGAGUAAUACCGUAUACGCCCUUAGGGGGAAAGAUUUAUCGGAGGAGGAUCGGCCCGCGUUGGAUUAGGUAGUUGGUGGGUAAUGGCCUACCAAGCCGACGAUCCAUAGCUGGUUUGAGAGGAUGAUCAGCCACACUGGGACUGAGACACGGCCCAGACUCCUACGGGAGGCAGCAGUGGGGAAUCUUAGACAAUGGGCGGCAAGCCUGAUCUAGCCAUGCCGCGUGAGCGAUGAAGG